CAUUCACGGAGAGUUUGAUCCUGGCUCAGGACGAACGCUGGCGGCGUGCUUAACACAUGCAAGUCGAACGAUGAACCACCUUCGGGUGGGGAGUUAGUGGCGAACGGGUGAGGUAACACGUGGGCAAUC
This 129-nucleotide ribosomal RNA is filed under the name Streptomyces sp. WAC 01420. RNAcentral describes it as "partial 16S ribosomal RNA". It matches the Rfam family "Bacterial small subunit ribosomal RNA", at positions 1 to 126 of the family's 1533-position model. The record is from RNAcentral. Lineage: Bacteria; Bacillati; Actinomycetota; Actinomycetes; Kitasatosporales; Streptomycetaceae.